GCGGGGCGGAGACGACUGUACUGCAGCUGCAGCUGAUCGUAGGCGGUUUAUUAAGUCAGUGGUGAAUCUUGCAGCUUAACUGUAAAAUUGCCGUUGAUACUGCUAAACUUGAAUACUAUGGAAGUAAUUAGAAUAUGUAGUGUAGCGGUGAAAUGCUUAGAUAUUACAUGGAAUACCAAUUGCGAAGGCAGAUUACUACGUAGUUAUUGACGCUGAUGAACGAAAGCGUGGGUAGCGAACAGGAUUAGAUACCCUGGUAGUCCACGCCGUAAACGAUGGAUACUAGCUGUUCGGUUUUCGGACUGAGUGGCUAAGCGAAAGUGAUAAUUAUCCCACCUGGGGAGUACGUUCGCAAGAAUGAAACUCAAAGGAAUUGACGGGGGCCCGCACAAGCGGUGGAGCAUGUGGUUUAAUUCGAUGAUACGCGAGGAACCUUACCAAGGCUUAAAUGUAUAUUGACAGGUUUAGAGAUAGACUUUUCUUCGGACAAUUUACAAAGUGCUGCAUGGUUGUCGUCAGCUCGUGCCGUGAGGUGUCAGGUUAAGUCCUAUAACGAGCGCAACCCCUAUUGUUAGUUGCCAGCGGGUCAAGCCGGGAACUCUAUCAAGACUGCCGGUGCAAACCGUGAGGAAGGUGGGGAUGACGUCAAAUCAUCACGGCCCUUACGUCUUGGGCUACACACGUGCUACAAUGGCCAGUACAGAAAGCAGCUACCAGCAACUGGAUGCGAAUCUCUAAAGCUGGUCUCAUUUCGGAUUGGAUCUGCAACUCGACUCCAUGAAGCUGGAAUCGCUAGUAAUCGGAUAUCAGCCAUUGAUCCGCUGAAUACAUCCCCCGGCGCCAUAAACAAAAA
Molecule: ribosomal RNA, 853 nt
Filed under: Myroides odoratus
Lineage: Bacteria; Pseudomonadati; Bacteroidota; Flavobacteriia; Flavobacteriales; Flavobacteriaceae
Description: bacterial SSU rRNA
Rfam family: Bacterial small subunit ribosomal RNA
Source: RNAcentral